This is a regulatory RNA element of Williamsia sterculiae, 102 nucleotides long. It matches the Rfam family "mraW RNA". The record is from Rfam. Lineage: Bacteria; Bacillati; Actinomycetota; Actinomycetes; Mycobacteriales; Nocardiaceae.
AUCCCACGGUGAGCCGAGGCCUCUGCCCGAUCCGACCCUGACGCACUUCCCCAGCGCCAGGUUCGCGAUCGGGCGGAGACCCCGGUUCAUCACCACCCUCGG